GACCGGCUUCCUGGGUCGUUUACCGGUUUGCUGACUGUACCUUGGUUUUUCAUGAGCAACUUGGAAAACCCCCGCUCUGCGGGAGACCUGCUGGGAAAUGUAGUCUCGCUCGACGCGGACUCCAAUCGGCACUGCAGGUCAAAGAACUACACUACCCAUCAGGUAACGCAGAUUACGAAAGCACGUUCUUGCGUACAAGGUUACUCCGAGACACGUCAGGCAAUCGGUGCGAAAGGGCUGAUGGGAGGAGGAAAGACUUCUCAGUGAGGUCGCCUUAAGGCGGAGCGGAGGAAGAUGCUUCUAUGACGUUAUUGCUGCGCGUUGGCUGCUGGGAGAAGCUGUGCAGCUGCAGACUUUGGUGAGUCUCCAAGGGAAUAGAAAUUAAGAGGCACCCACCUGGAUGGAACUCUUCCCUCUUGAUUCCUUGUAGUCCAGACUAGGUGCACACAGGUUUUAAAGGAGCGUUUCUAGUUGAUAUUAGAGGCUGUGCUCAAAUGUGGAGCGAGGCUGUUUCAGGCUUCCCAGAUGUUACAGAGAAAAGACUAUGUUAAAGGAGUGUUGCGCUUGUUUUCUCUGCACGGAAUUCUACACCCCCAACAUCCAUGUCAUGUGUAGAGUGGGAUACUAUUUCUAUCUUUAGUA
Molecule: long non-coding RNA, 642 nt
Organism: Hemicordylus capensis (graceful crag lizard)
Lineage: Eukaryota; Metazoa; Chordata; Lepidosauria; Squamata; Cordylidae
Exons: 3
Source: RefSeq, a predicted model, not a curated record